RNAcentral lists this transfer RNA (72 nucleotides) under Daphnia pulex (common water flea). It matches the Rfam family "tRNA". Rfam says of the family: Transfer RNA (tRNA) molecules are approximately 80 nucleotides in length. Their secondary structure includes four short double-helical elements and three loops (D, anti-codon, and T loops). Further hydrogen bonds mediate the characteristic L-shaped molecular structure. tRNAs have two regions of fundamental functional importance: the anti-codon, which is responsible for specific mRNA codon recognition, and the 3' end, to which the tRNAs corresponding amino acid is attached (by aminoacyl-tRNA synthetases). tRNAs cope with the degeneracy of the genetic code in two manners: having more than one tRNA (with a specific anti-codon) for a particular amino acid; and 'wobble' base-pairing, i.e. permitting non-standard base-pairing at the 3rd anti-codon position. The record is from Rfam by way of RNAcentral. Lineage: Eukaryota; Metazoa; Arthropoda; Branchiopoda; Diplostraca; Daphniidae.
GCGGUGGUGGUAUAGUGGUUAGCAUAGUUGCCUUCCAAGCAAUUGACCCGAGUUUAAUUCUCGGCUAUCGCA